GCGCCCGUAGCUCAGUUGGAUAGAGCGCCAGCCUCCGGAGCUGGAGGCCACAGGUUCGAUUCCUGUCGGGCGCGCCA
This 77-nucleotide transfer RNA is filed under the name Deltaproteobacteria bacterium. RNAcentral's name for it is "tRNA-Arg". It matches the Rfam family "tRNA". From Rfam's summary of the family: Transfer RNA (tRNA) molecules are approximately 80 nucleotides in length. RNAcentral also lists the same sequence under 1 other name. The record is from RNAcentral. Lineage: Bacteria; Pseudomonadati; Myxococcota; Myxococcia.